This 102-nucleotide small nucleolar RNA is filed under the name Jaculus jaculus (lesser Egyptian jerboa). RNAcentral's name for it is "Small nucleolar RNA SNORA33 (ENSJJAG00000007477.1)". It matches the Rfam family "Small nucleolar RNA SNORA33". Rfam says of the family: ACA33 is a member of the H/ACA class of snoRNA that guide the sites of modification of uridines to pseudouridines. The record is from Rfam by way of RNAcentral. Lineage: Eukaryota; Metazoa; Chordata; Mammalia; Rodentia; Dipodidae.
CAGACAGACACAGAAACUUAGAAAAAGCUGACAAUAGUGAUGCCAUUUUAUAAGCCUUAAGGAUAGCUGAGGUCAUUAAGGUUCCUAAAAAUGGCUACAAUG